RNAcentral lists this long non-coding RNA (808 nucleotides) under Ananas comosus (pineapple). RNAcentral describes it as "long non-coding RNA (ACOM_LNC024970)". The record is from RNAcentral. Lineage: Eukaryota; Viridiplantae; Streptophyta; Magnoliopsida; Poales; Bromeliaceae.
AGAGAGAGAAAGAGUUGAGUUUAUGUACUUUUAAAAAAUAUAAAAAAAUUUAUAUUUAUAAUUUUUUAGCCAUCAGAUUAUCUCAAAAGUCAGAAAGUAUUAUUAACAGUGUGUCCCAUUAAGUCCACUUUAUUAGUGUUGUACUGAUAUUCAGAUAAUCCGACAGCUAAAAAAUUACAAACACGUUAAGCUCCAAUGCUUCUAAAGGCACAUGAGCUCAACUCUCUCUCUCUCUCUCUCUAUAUAUAGAGAGUAAGGCUAUUGUAUUUUUAUGAGUAUAGAGUUAUUCGUACUUAUAAGUUAUUUUCGAUGAUAUAGCUUCCGAAUUGAUGGUCUAUACGAUUAAAUAUAUUCUGGAGCACUUGAGAUUUCUAAAAAAUAAUUUCGUAAUUUUUUGAAAUUAUAAUAAAGUUCGUCAAACGGAUAUAAAAUGAACGGUAAAAAUCGAUUUACUAAAAAUAGAGAAUCAGAUACUUCAAUUUAAGAUUAGAGUUAUUGAUCUUUAUCUAGAUGGCGAAUAGAAUUUUCAAUUACAAAUUCAAUCUAUUUCAAAUCUUUUACAUCGUUAACUAACAAUUAUUUCAUAUCGACCGUUAAAAAUUAUCAAUCUUGAUAUCUUUUGAUCGUAUGGUAAAUAAUGUCGAAAAAAUAAUAAAUUUUGAUUUCAAAAUUUUUUUAUUAUUCUAAAUAAUGUUUGAAGGUAUGGAUUGUCAAUUCGAAAAUUCUAUUAUCGAAAAUGACUUAUAAGUACGAAAGCGAUCGUGCUCAUAAGAGUAUAGUAAUCGAACUCUGUGUUAAUAUAUAUAAC